This 459-nucleotide ribosomal RNA is filed under the name uncultured bacterium. RNAcentral describes it as "partial 16S ribosomal RNA". It matches the Rfam family "Bacterial small subunit ribosomal RNA", at positions 338 to 795 of the family's 1533-position model. The record is from RNAcentral.
CCUACGUGUGGCAGCAGUGAGGAAUAUUGGUCCAUGGCCUAGAGGCUUAACCCGCCAAGUCGCGUGCGGGAAGCCGGCCCUACGGGUUGUAAACCUCUUUUGUCGGGGAGCAAAGCGAUUCACGUGUGACUCAUUGAGAGUACCCGAAGAAAAAGCAUCGGCUAACUCCGUGCCAGCAGCCGCGGUAAUACGGAGGAUGCGAGCGUUAUCCGGAUUUCUUGGUUUUAAAGGGUGCGCAGGCGGAGGUGCAAGUCAGCGGUCAAAUUGCGGGGCUCACCCCCGUACUGCCGUUGAAACUGCAUCCCUUGAGUGCGCGAGAAGUAUGCGGAAUGCGUGGUGUAGCGGUGAAAUGCAUAGAUAUCACGCAGAACUCCGAUUGCGAAGGCAGCAUACCGGCGCGCAACUGACGCUCAUGCACGAAAGCGUGGGUAUCGAACAGGAUUAGAUACCCGGGUAGUC